CAACGACCGGCGCGGAGGGGUCAGCGGGAGGGAACCGGGUCACCAGCCAGCGAGAGUGCACAGCCUGAGCCCACCGCCGGGUCAGGUCUCUCUCUGUCUCUGUCUCUGUCUCUGUCUCUGUCUCUCUCUGUCUCUGUCUCUGUCUCUGUCUCUCUCUGUCUCUCUGGGCCCGCUUGGGGCGGGCGGGAGGUCACCACGUGAGGCCCCAGGGUGUCCACCUCGGAGCUCCCAGGCAGCACAGGGCAACCCUGGGCGCAGAAGGAGGUGUUGGAAAAUCGGCGGGGAGGGGGGUGGGGUGGGUGGGCUUGCCAGGAAGGGGACAGACUCCCCACGUGACUCCUGGGCCGGGCCGGGGCUGCCAGCUGGCUGACGCGGACAGAGGUGGAAAAGUCCCCGGAGAUGCCACGGGGCAGGCCGGGGCUGCCGGCCCCCGCUUCCCGGAGCGCCCGAGCACUUCCCGGGCUCCCGGGAGGACUUAGAAAAUCAGGGCGGGGUGGGGGGUGGGGGUCGCUGUCAAACCGAAACCAUGCACGUCAUCAGAGAAGGACCGUGACGACGGAGGAAUUGUCCGCAGUCUGUCAGGAAUUGUGUGCAGCCUGUCACUUCCGGCCCAGAGGGUCUCUCUAAGGCAGACGGACAGACAGAGCCCACAAGUCGUAGAGGAAAGGACCGAGCCGCUUGGCCGCGGAAAAGUUUACAACACAAAACAGGUCUCCCUCCGCACGGGGCCACAGCAAAGCCCAAAGACGACACACGGGGGGGAGCAUGGGUGCAGAUGCACGUGUGGUGAUAAGAAUAUGGAUUUCAGCAGGGCUUCCCGUCCUCAUCAACAAGCAGAAGCACCCAAAUGGUGGGGGUUGGGGGGCAGAGACCUCACAGCCAUUCCCUCCACAAAUCGAGUUCCCCAGGACAUCCUCACAGCCCCGUGCUGUGAGUGUGUGUGGGUGUUUAAAAUGGAGUAAAUGUGGACGUGGAACUGCUCCGUGAAACCAAAAUAACAACAGUCGUAGAUCUUCUUUGGUCAUUUAGAAAAUUCUUUUUUUUUUUUUUUUUUCCCCAGCGGUGCACGUAUUUCCCUUCCAAAAAAGAAGAACGGGAAAGGAGAUGUUAAAGGCAAGCAGAGAGAGGAAAACUGUUGCAAAACAAAAGCUGAGCUCCCGUCCGAGGGAGGCCUCCUCCAUUGGAGGCCUAGGAAAUCAUUCUGACAAAAUGGAGGAUCUCUGUCUUUGGUGUCGAUUCCCUCAGAGGUCAAGAGAAACCUUUUCCAAUGUCUUUAUCAGGAGGAGACUAGAAGUUAGAGAAAAGUAUCCUUUCGGGAGUGAGAAAAACAAAUUCUGAUUUUGCAUCAGCUUCCCUCCGAUCUUGAAACUCAUUGACUUGAUUCCAUUCUGUCGACGGAAAUAAUCCGGAACCAAUCUAUCCGUGAAAAUCGGGGGCACAACCAAAGGGACGUCUAUCGACCCACCCACCAAGGAUUCCCCCCCCCCGCACGGCACAGCAGGAUGCCUGAGAGAUCCAUGCAGCCCUACAGUGGCAAGUCACAUUCGCACAGUCAAAACUCAAUGGCAGAGACAAAACGUUAAGGUCAGCGAGAGGGAAGAGAAUAACCGGCCCAGGAGCAACGGUGUGAAGAACACGGAGAAGACGGGUCCUAGACGCCGGGGUCCCCGGAGCAGCGAUUUCAUCAGAGGCCCGCGAACGUCCACGAUCUCCACACCACGUUUAUGGCCGACUGCGUGCGUGGGUCCUUUGGAAUCGACCAGGCUACUGUCCGGGCCACUUUGGGACAUCGUGGCCAGCUGCCCCGAGCGGUGGAGCUGUCAUUCGAGUACUGCUUGAGGAUCACGGACGGUUUGGCUCAUCGAUGAGCCCUGCGUUAUGGGCCCGGCAAGCAAACUCCUAACUGGCAACCCGCUGCUCUAGGUGUGUGUGGGUUUUUUGAUCAUUCACCUUCAAGUUCGCACGACAUUGGUCCGUGUCCCCCGCCCUGGCUUCCCAUGGGAAAUCCUCCGUCUCUUUCCACAGACUCACUGGCGACUUCACACAGCGCCUGCCUCCUCCUCCUUAGGAAGGAAGGAAGGAAGGAAGGAAGGAAGGAAGGAAGGAAGGAAAGGAAGGAAGGGGCUGACCCCGUGGCCGAGCGGUUGAGUUCG
Equus asinus (donkey) is the source of this 2153-nucleotide long non-coding RNA. The record is from Ensembl. NCBI's taxonomy places the organism in Eukaryota, Metazoa, Chordata, Mammalia, Perissodactyla, Equidae.